GCUCAACCAGGAGGAGAAGAAUUACUCCAACAGCCCUGAAGCCACUUCCAUGGUGCUUGUCGGCUGUCCUCGCUGCCUCAUGUAUGUGAUGCUCUCUGAAGAUGAUCCCAAGUGUCCCAAAUGCAAAAGCACGGUUUUGCUAGAUUUCCUGCACGACACCAAAAACCCCACCAUAAGGAGGAAUUAGAGUGAUAGAGUUAGGAUCCUGGGUUCCUAGCUCUGUUUUCUUCUGUUCCUAGCCCUGUUUUUCUCUGUUCCUAAUAGUAGGACAUAUUAUAAUAUUAUAUUAUAUUAGCUAGUAAUGGUUAGGAAUUAAUCUCCUUUUUACCUUUUUACUGUUUUAACUAUUCCCCCUUCUGUGGGUAGUGCUAUGUGCGCUCCACUUUUACCCUCUCUCCCAACAAUUUUGUCAAAGCAGGGGAUGCAUAUUUGCAGAGACAGAAAGAGACAGAGUGGAGCGUGAAUAGCACUGCUUGAAUCACCUAUAGAAAGAAAGUUACUGGGCAAUUCGGGAAUGUUAGGUAUCUAUUAUAUAGGAGCUGGGUGCUCUUUAGCGGUUAAGAAAGUGUAAUAGGGCUUAUAACCUCAGGUGCCCUCUUAGUUUGCUUGUUGAAAUCCAACCUCGGUUUUCCUUUGACUAUCUUUUUCUCUGCAUCCA
This 658-nucleotide long non-coding RNA is filed under the name Vigna radiata. Its description in RNAcentral is "long non-coding RNA (VRAD_LNC002420)". The record is from RNAcentral. Lineage: Eukaryota; Viridiplantae; Streptophyta; Magnoliopsida; Fabales; Fabaceae.